GCUGGGUGCGGUGGCGGGCACCUGUAAUCCCAGCUACUUGGGAGGCUGAGGAGAGAGAAUUGCUUGAACCCGGGAGGCAGAGGUUGCGGUGAGCAGAGAUCACAGCACUGCACUCCAGCCUGGGCAACAGAGCAAGACCCCUUCUCAA
RNAcentral lists this non-coding RNA (148 nucleotides) under Pan paniscus (pygmy chimpanzee). RNAcentral also lists the same sequence under 1 other name. Lineage: Eukaryota; Metazoa; Chordata; Mammalia; Primates; Hominidae. The record is from Rfam by way of RNAcentral.